Molecule: ribosomal RNA, 165 nt
Filed under: uncultured bacterium
Lineage: Bacteria
Description: partial 16S rRNA
Rfam family: Bacterial small subunit ribosomal RNA
Source: RNAcentral
UAGGGAAUCUUCGGCAAUGGACGAAAGUCUGACCGAGCAACGCCGCGUGAGUGAAGAAGGUUUUCGGAUCGUAAAACUCUGUUGGUAGAGAAGAACGUUAGUGAGAGUGGAAAGCUCAUCAAGUGACGGUAACUACCCAGAAAGGGACGGCUAACUACGUGCCAC